This 1247-nucleotide ribosomal RNA is filed under the name Phytoplasma sp. RNAcentral describes it as "bacterial SSU rRNA". It matches the Rfam family "Bacterial small subunit ribosomal RNA", at positions 153 to 1399 of the family's 1533-position model. The record is from RNAcentral. RNAcentral also lists the same sequence under 4 other names. Lineage: Bacteria; Bacillati; Mycoplasmatota; Mollicutes; Acholeplasmatales; Acholeplasmataceae.
GAAACAGUGGCUAAGACUGGAUAGGAAGAAAUAAGGCAUCUUUUUUCUUUUAAAAGACCUAGUGAUAGGUAUACUUUAGGAGGGGCUUGCGCCAUAUUAGUUAGUUGGUAGGGUAAUGGCCUACCAAGACGAUGAUGUGUAGCUGGACUGAGAGGUUGAACAGCCACAUUGGGACUGAGACACGGCCCAAACUCCUACGGGAGGCAGCAGUAGGGAAUUUUCGGCAAUGGAGGAAACUCUGACCGAGCAACGCCGCGUGAACGACGAAGUACUUUGGUAUGUAAAGUUCUUUUAUCAAGGAAGAAAAGCAAGUGGUGAACCAUUUGUUUGCCGGUACUUGAUGAAUAAGCCCCGGCUAAUUAUGUGCCAGCAGCCGCGGUAAGACAUAAGGGGCAAGUGUUAUCCGGAAUUAUUGGGCGUAAAGGGUGCGUAGGCGGUCUAGUAAGUCAGUGGUGUAAUGGCAACGCUCAACGUUGUCCGGCUAUUGAAACUGCUAAACUUGAGUUAGAUAGAGGCGAGUGGAAUUCCAUGUGUAGCGGUAAAAUGCGUAAAUAUAUGGAGGAACACCAGAGGCGUAGGCGGCUCGCUGGGUCUUAACUGACGCUGAGGCACGAAAGCGUGGGGAGCAAACAGGAUUAGAUACCCUGGUAGUCCACGCCGUAAACGAUGAGUACUAAGUGUCGGGUUAAACCGGUACUGAAGUUAACACAUUAAGUACUCCGCCUGAGUAGUACGUACGCAAGUAUGAAACUUAAAGGAAUUGACGGGACUCCGCACAAGCGGUGGAUCAUGUUGUUUAAUUCGAAGAUACCCGAAAAACCUUACCAGGUCUUGACAUGUUUUUGCGAAACGGUAGUAAUAUCGUGGAGGUUAUCAGAAACACAGGUGGUGCAUGGUUGUCGUCAGCUCGUGUCGUGAGAUGUUAGGUUAAGUCCUAAAACGAGCGAAACCCUUAUCGUUAGUUGCCAGCACGUUAUGGUGGGGACUUUAACGAGACUGCCAGUGAUAAAUUGGAGGAAGGUGAGGAUCACGUCAAAUCAGCAUGCCCCUUAUGACCUGGGCUACAAACGUGAUACAAUGGCUGUUACAAAGGGUAGCUGAAACGCAAGUUCUUGGCCAAUCCCCAAAAACAGUCUCAGUCCGGAUUGAAGUCUGCAACUCGACUUCAUGAAGUUGGAAUCGCUAGUAAUCGCGAAUCAGCAUGUCGCGGUGAAUACGUUCUCGGGGUUUGUACACACCGCCCGUCA